RNAcentral lists this non-coding RNA (29 nucleotides) under Rattus norvegicus (Norway rat). Lineage: Eukaryota; Metazoa; Chordata; Mammalia; Rodentia; Muridae. The record is from RNAcentral.
UACAAGAAUUGUGAACACACAGGGUUGGG